This 466-nucleotide ribosomal RNA is filed under the name uncultured bacterium. RNAcentral's name for it is "partial 16S ribosomal RNA". It matches the Rfam family "Bacterial small subunit ribosomal RNA", at positions 28 to 507 of the family's 1533-position model. The record is from RNAcentral.
GAUGAACGCUGGCGGCGUGCUUAACACAUGCAAGUCGAACGAUGAAGCCCAGCUUGCUGGGUGGAUUAGUGGCGAACGGGUGAGUAACACGUGAGUAACCUGCCCUUAACUCUGGGAUAAGCCUGGGAAACUGGGUCUAAUACCGGAUAGGAGCGUCCACCGCAUGGUGGGUGUUGGAAAGAUUUAUCGGUUUUGGAUGGACUCGCGGCCUAUCAGCUUGUUGGUGAGGUAAUGGCUCACCAAGGCGACGACGGGUAGCCGGCCUGAGAGGGUGACCGGCCACACUGGGACUGAGACACGGCCCAGACUCCUACGGGAGGCAGCAGUGGGGAAGAUUGCACAAUGGGCGCAAGCCUGAUGCAGCGACGCCGCGUGAGGGAUGACGGCCUUCGGGUUGUAAACCUCUUUCAGUAGGGAAGAAGCGAAAGUAACGGUACCUGCAGAAGAAGCACCGGCUAACUACGUG